This is a non-coding RNA of Paramisgurnus dabryanus, 1608 nucleotides long. The record is from RefSeq and is a predicted model, not a curated record. NCBI's taxonomy places the organism in Eukaryota, Metazoa, Chordata, Actinopteri, Cypriniformes, Cobitidae.
UAAGUGUAAGGCUCAUAAAGAAAAACAGCGUUUUAAAAAUGUCAGCUGUAUAACGUUAUUUCACGUUUGGUAGUUUUAUCCGAGUUGAAAACUGUCAGAUUUGAGUUGACUUUUGAGGCACUUUUUACUCAGUUGUUCUAUGGAAACGGUUCAGGACAAAUAAAACGCUAACCAAACGUUAUUCUGUCCAGAGUAACGUUAUCCAUGUAAGUAAUUUACCAGAUGAUAUCAAUUGACUACAUUAAUAAUGACAUUGUAUGAAACAAACUGUCUGCUUAAUCAGAUGAACAGACCCGCGUCAGUUAUUCGUGACUUCACUACGCCACGAGCAACACUUGAUUCAAUUAGAAAAAGCUUUUUUUAAAUGCCUCGCGUGACGUCUGGUAUAUUAACUGAAAAAAUUGCUUUGAAGUGCCACACCUUAAAGCUGACGUUUUCAGAAGAGCACCUUGUUUUAAGAUCUCAUUUUGUCCAAAAUUGCGUCCUAUGACAGAUAUAAUACUUAUUUCAUUAUUGCUCUGUGUAUGUGUGACCUUAAUCAUUUGAGGUUAUGUGUUGAUUUCACCUCUGAAUAUUUCCUCUUAUAGGUCCAUCAUCCUUGCAUGCGCUACACACUCAAAAGCAUUGAUAAAUGCUGAAUUUAAAAGAAUCACUACUGUCUUAUGUUCCUGCGUGUCACCUGGACCUCCAAUCCAAAAACCUGACGAAACUCUUCUAUCAGAAAGGAGGACAGCUAGCAAAAAGACUUCAAACAAUGAAUGAUCAAAUGACAGAAGGCAUGGAUGAAGUCAGCAUCAGUGUGGUCAUUUGAAGACACCACUGUUGGGAUUUGUGCUCUCAAACAACAUGCUUCUUGUGAUGAAGAAGAGGAUCUUUGUAUAGUCCUGGAAGGCAUGAAGGUGUUGCAACAUCGUGCCAUGUUGUUUGAGCUGAUGUAUGCCUUAAACCUGAGCUAUCCUGAUCUCUGCUUUAUUUUUGAAGAAAUCCAAAAGAUUUUAAUGGAACUGCAUUGAGCGUAACUUUAACGAACCGUUUCUUUCAGUGAAAGGAUUAGAAAGACUGUGCUGCUCAUUUAUGUUCUUUUUAUUUAUCAGUUUUAAGUGUUUUUUCUUAUUAAAACAUUAACCGUUUGCUGCUCAGAGUUGAUUUUGGAAAUGGUUGUUGUAUUUUGUUUUUGUUGAAUCUUUGAUUAUCAGUUUAUACAAAUGCUUUAGCUCUGACUUUCUGAAGGAUUGAUAUUUUCCAGUUUGUAAAUCCAUUUAAAAAAUAAUAGUACUUACUGUUUUGCAUGUCUCUUUGGAAUGCAGUGUUUGUGCUUUAGCACCUCUAAAUCUACUGUGAUAGUAACUAUUUUAAACAUUUGGGUCAGUUUUACAGAUUGGGCUUUUUCUAGUCCCAGACUUUUGCAAUGCCUUAAUUUGAAAACAUAUUGCACUGACAUAUCUUGACAUAUAUCAGUGCCAUUGUUUUGUCUCAAGAUGUACUCCAGUGUUGUUUUUGUAAGGUAGGUUUGUUUGUAAACUUUUUUUUGUAAGAAAUAUCCUAAUAUAACUAGGGCCUAGUCAUGGCUUAAUCCACAACCUGUCUGGGAAAUUGCCCCUUUGUAUG